CGCGAAUGGCUCAUUACAAUAGCUAAAAUUUACUCGAUCUUGACACAAUCCUACUUGGAUAACUGUGGUAAUUCUAGAGCUAAUACAUGCAUUAAAGCUCUGACCUUCGGGGAAGAGUGCGUUUAUUAGAACAAAACCAAGCGGCUUCGGCUGUUUUCGGUUGACUCAUAGUAACUGAGCUGAUCGCAUGGUCUUGCACCGGCGACGUGUCGUUCAAGUAUCUGCCGUAUCAACUUUCGAUGGUAGUGUAUCUGACUACCAUGGUGAUCACGCGUAACGGAGAAUAAGGGUUCGACUCCGGAGAGUUCGCCUGAGAAAUCGCGAACACAUCUAAGGAAGGCAGCAGGCGCGAAAAUUACCCACUCUCAGCACGAGGAGGUAGUGACGAAAAAUAACGAGACCGUUCUCUUAUGAGGCCGGUCAUCGGAAUGGGUACAAUUUAAACCCUUUAACGAGUAUCUAUGAGAGGGCAAGUCUGGUGCCAGCAGCCGCGGUAAUUCCAGCU
Molecule: ribosomal RNA, 505 nt
Filed under: Cervidellus vexilliger
Lineage: Eukaryota; Metazoa; Nematoda; Chromadorea; Rhabditida; Cephalobidae
Description: SSU rRNA
Rfam family: Eukaryotic small subunit ribosomal RNA
Source: RNAcentral